This 324-nucleotide RNase P RNA is filed under the name uncultured Nitratifractor sp. RNAcentral's name for it is "Bacterial RNase P class A". It matches the Rfam family "Bacterial RNase P class A". Rfam says of the family: Ribonuclease P (RNase P) is a ubiquitous endoribonuclease, found in archaea, bacteria and eukarya as well as chloroplasts and mitochondria. Lineage: Bacteria; Pseudomonadati; Campylobacterota; Epsilonproteobacteria; Campylobacterales; Sulfurovaceae. The record is from RNAcentral.
GGUAGGUGGACGGCUGCUCGCGCCUGUGCGCGGGAGGAAAGUCCGGGCUGCAGUGAGGCAGGACCCCACCUAACGGGUGGCCGGAGCGAUCCGAGGGCAAGUGCAACAGAAAGCAGACCGCCCGCUAUCUCGCGGGUAAGGGUGAAACGGCGGUGUAAGAGACCACCGGUCUCUACGGCAACGCAGAGAGCCAGGUAAACCCGGUCCGCAGCAAGAAGCACCAGGUAAAAGCCUCACAUUCGUGUGCUUCGCUCGAGCGUAUCGGCGACGAUACGCCAAGAUAAAUAGUCGUCCAAGACAGAACCCGGCUUAUAGCCUGCCUUC